RNAcentral lists this ribosomal RNA (482 nucleotides) under uncultured bacterium. RNAcentral's name for it is "bacterial SSU rRNA". It matches the Rfam family "Bacterial small subunit ribosomal RNA", at positions 30 to 506 of the family's 1533-position model. The record is from RNAcentral.
UUGAACGCUGGCGGCAUGCCUUACACAUGCAAGUCGAACGGCAGCACGGGGGCAACCCUGGUGGCGAGUGGCGAACGGGUGAGUAAUACAUCGGAACGUGCCCUGAAGUGGGGGAUAACGUAGCGAAAGUUACGCUAAUACCGCAUAUUCUGUGAGCAGGAAAGCAGGGGAUCGCAAGACCUUGCGCUUUAGGAGCGGCCGAUGUCGGAUUAGCUAGUUGGUGAGGUAAAGGCUCACCAAGGCGACGAUCCGUAGCGGGUCUGAGAGGAUGAUCAGCCACACUGGAACUGAGACACGGUCCAGACUCCUACGGGAGGCAGCAGUGGGGAAUUUUGGACAAUGGGGGAAACCCUGAUCCAGCCAUUCCGCGUGAGUGAAGAAGGCCUUCGGGUUGUAAAGCUCUUUCAGGAGGGAAGAAACGGUUGCGGCUAAUACCCGCGACUAAUGACGGUACCUUCAGAAGAAGCACCGGCUAACUACGU